This 69-nucleotide transfer RNA is filed under the name Ovis aries (sheep). It matches the Rfam family "tRNA". Rfam says of the family: Transfer RNA (tRNA) molecules are approximately 80 nucleotides in length. Their secondary structure includes four short double-helical elements and three loops (D, anti-codon, and T loops). The record is from Rfam by way of RNAcentral. Lineage: Eukaryota; Metazoa; Chordata; Mammalia; Artiodactyla; Bovidae.
CCUGGAGGCUCAGAGGUUAAAGCGCCUGCCUGCAAUGCAGUAGACCCAGGUUCAAUCCCUGGGUCAGGA